Molecule: long non-coding RNA, 676 nt
Filed under: Olea europaea (common olive)
Lineage: Eukaryota; Viridiplantae; Streptophyta; Magnoliopsida; Lamiales; Oleaceae
Description: long non-coding RNA (OEUR_LNC012576)
Source: RNAcentral
AGUUUUCCCGAUCUUUUUCUCCCACAAGGCAACGAGUUCAUUGAAUGAAUAUAUGUUCUUAGGAGGCUUGAUGUAAACGAUCUUGUUCAAUGUUCUCGGGUCAUCCACAGUCUUGAUGGUGUAGGUGCCAAUAUCUUCUUCAUAAUUGAAGACAGCUGCAAACAAAUAAGGCAGAGAGAGGGGGGGGGGGAACAAGAAGAUUAUAAAGAUGAGAUACGCACAAUUUCUUGAAGUAAUGUCAUUAAACAAGUGUGAAGUAAGUUACUGAAGUUUAUCCCUACCGCCACAUUGUUUGAUACAGCCUCAUAGCAUGCUAAAGGAAGGACAUAGGAUAUAAAGGCAAAUCAUCCUAGUUUAUGCUUACAAUAGAGAUACAACAGUUCAGUUAAUUCAGCACAAAACCUCAUUCAGAAAUCACAAGUGCAAAAUGUUCUACAAAACUACUAUACAUUCUCUAUUAAACACUUCUUAGGCCAAGUGUUUUUGAGUUUUCCCAGCAAAGUUUGUCGAACAGAAUAGGAAUACGGAUUGCUAAACGAGUUUUUGAAUUUGAUGUUAAGUACCUUUGGGGUUUCCAUCUCCUAGGAUGAUUACUUUGUCUCUUGGAGGAGCGGUGACUCCCGGCUGUACCAAUGUCGGAAGAGAGUAUCCAGCAAAGUAGUUGGACGAUACAUAG